AGGAUAAGAUUAUAAAAGUGUUAAGCGGUAGCAUAAAAAAUGUGCUUCAUUGAAAAUGAAGAAGAUG
This 67-nucleotide transfer RNA is filed under the name Mytilisepta virgata. Its description in RNAcentral is "tRNA-Phe". The record is from RNAcentral. Lineage: Eukaryota; Metazoa; Mollusca; Bivalvia; Mytilida; Mytilidae.